CGCGGCCUAUCAGCUUGUUGGUGGGGUGAUGGCCUACCAAGGCGACGACGGGUAGCCGGCCUGAGAGGGUGUCCGGCCCACACUGGGACUGAGACACGGCCCAGACUCCUACGGGAGGCAGCAGUGGGGAAUAUUGCACAAUGGGCGGAAGCCUGAUGCAGCGACGCCGCGUGAGGCAUGACGGCCUUCGGGUUGUAAACCUCUUUCACCAAGGACGAAGCGGGAGUGACGGUACUUGGGGAAGAAGCACCGGCUAACUACGUGCCAGCAGCCGCGGUAAUACGUAGGGUCCGAGCGUUGUCCGGAAUUAUUGGGCGUAAAGAGCUCGUAGGCGGCUCGUUGCGCCUACCGUGAAAACUGGAGGCUUAACCUUCAGCUUGCGGUGGAUACGGGCGGGCUUGAGUUCGGUAGGGGAGACUGGAAUUCCUGGUGUAGCGGUGAAAUGCGCAGAUAUCAGGAGGAACACCGGUGGCGAAGGCGGGUCUCUGGGCCGAUACUGACGCUGAGGAGCGAAAGCGUGGGGAGCGAACAGGAUUAGAUACCCUGGUAGUCCACGCUGUAAACGUUGGGCGCUAGGUGUGGGUGACAUCCACGUUGUCCGUGCCGUACCUAACGCAUUAAGCGCCCCGCCUGGGGAGUACGG
This 643-nucleotide ribosomal RNA is filed under the name uncultured Actinomycetes bacterium. RNAcentral describes it as "bacterial SSU rRNA". It matches the Rfam family "Bacterial small subunit ribosomal RNA", at positions 232 to 885 of the family's 1533-position model. Lineage: Bacteria; Bacillati; Actinomycetota; Actinomycetes. The record is from RNAcentral.